GCCCUCGGGGCUCGGACCCGCCGGGGCUGCGGAUCCCGGCGCGGCUGAGCUGAGGGCUGGGCACUGCCGCUUCCCAGCAGGACCGCUGGCUGGUGUGCGGAGCCUGUGCCCGCGGAACCCAAGCAGCCUGGGAGGCUAGACUGAGCGCGGUGGAAAGAAGGUUAGACUUGGUUACCCGGAUUCUGUUUUUAAUUCCCAGCAGUUGUCAAGGGGCUUUGCCGGCGGCAGCAGUCACCAGCUGCCUUUUGCGCCGCUCCUCUUUCUGAGGGUCGCAGGCCCACCUUCUGUGAGUGCUUCCUGCUGAGCCCGGGUGGAGGGCAGGGCUCCAGCUGCCCCUACCUGGGUGUGACGGCCCCGGGCCUCAGCCCUCACUGCUCUCUCCGAGCGACCACAGUGGGAGCUGGGUAGCUGCUCACCGCCUUCGAGGGCCCAGGAGAAGGCAAAACCCAGACCCCAGGGUGGGCCUCUCCCACCCUGGCUCUGCCAUUGUUUGGCCACCUGAGGCUGACUGUUUCUCCCAGCCAGCAGCUUUUCUCCAGGCCACGGCGUUCGCAUCCGAACAGGAGAGCCAUCCCUGGUCAGCUCAGGGACAGUCCAGGGCCCGUGGCUGUCUAGGACCCAGCCAGCGCAGUAGCCUGGAGUCCAGGUCUGUCUCAUUGGCCACAGUCACGGAGGUGGCUGAGAGCUUUUUCGUUCCUCGCGUCCCCCUCCAAGCCCCCGCGUGCACUGACCCUGAAACUCACCGUCUGCUCCUUCGCGACACGUUUCUAUUUUCCACCAACCUUCUUUAUUGGAAACAUUCCGGUAAAGGUUUUUUAGGCUCCGGAGACUCUGAUGUGUUUGCAGUCCGUUCGUUUAUCAGGUAUACACACCCUCGGAGCACCCCUCACGCGCUGCUUGAUAUGCAAAGAAGAGGAGCUCCAGGUCCCAGGUCAGAGAGGGGCGUCACACAGUAAGUAGUCCAGGGGGCUGUUGCCCCAGUUUGGAGCUGGGACCCCUCCUGACUCAGGUAAGAUGUGUCCCUGGAGAUCUCUGAGCCUCGGGUAAGGUGGGCGCUUCGGGUCACCAAGUGGGCUCUGCCCCACUUAGGAGGGGGUGGGCUGUUGGUUUCCAAGUUUUUAGACUCAGUCUCCUGGUCGGAAGGUCCCCCAAGUAUUGGCUGCCCCUGUACCCUGAUGCCAAAUAGAAACACGGAGAUGGAGGUGGAAGACACAGAAAAAGGAGCUUGAAUUUCCAGGCAAAGAGGGGACUUCAAGGACUGGGACCCCCCACCUGCAGGAGGUGGUGCAGUCUUGGCGUGUUCAAGGAUGGGCGACUUCUUAAUGAUGCCAUCCGGCCCAGCGUGAGGGCUGCAUUGUGGCAUAGGGAGGUUCCCAGGCUAGGGGUUGAAUCAGGAGCUGUAGCCACAGCCACAGCAAUGCUAGAUCUGGCCUGUGUCUGCAACCUACACCACAGCUCACGGCAACGCCGGAUCGUUAACCCACUGAGCAAGGGCAGGGAUCGAACCCGCAACCUCAUGGUUCCUAGUCGGAUUCGUUAACCACUGCGCCACGAUGGGAACUCCCAGGUUCCCAGGCUAGGGGGUCUAAUUGGAGCCGUAGCCGCCAGCCUAUGCCAGAGCCACAGCAGCGCAGGGUCCAAGGCGAGUCUGCACCACAGCUCACGGCAACGCCGGAUCCUUAACCCACUGAGCGAGGCCAGGGAUCAAACCACAGCCUCAUGUUCCUAGUCGGGUUCGUUUCUGCUGCGCCAUAGUGGAAACUCCAUAAACGACUCGUUAUGUGAAGUUUCAUGCCACUGUGCUCAGAGAAGAUACUUGAAAUGAUUUCUGUAGUCUUAGAUUUGUUGAGAAGGUCUGUCCGAAGAUGUGAGAGGGGUGUUAAAGUCUCCUACUGUGAUUGUGCUCCCGUGGAUUCCUCCUUUUACGGCUGUUAGUAUUUGCCAGUCUCUUGGAGACAGCAGAUUGCAGGCUCUUGUUUCUUUAUCCAAUCUGCCACUCUGCGUCUUUUGACUGGAGCAUUCAGUCCAUUGACAUUUAAGAUCUGCCCCCUGGGCCCUCUGCUCCAAGGUGCCUCAGGUCGGGCCGAGGACACAGUAUGGCGCCAGGGUACGGAGGCCUGAAGGAAGCUGGGGCUAGUGAAAGUUCUCACGGAGUUCCCUGGUGGCUGCCAGGCUUAAGAGUCUCUCCCGGUGUCACUGCGGUGGCUGUGGGAAGAGCCGCAUUGGGAGAUCCAACCCUGGCCAGAGAGCAUGCCAAUGUGGCAGGUGGCGCCCAAAUAAAUGUAUGAAUAAAAAGAGAUAUGGAAA
RNAcentral lists this long non-coding RNA (2307 nucleotides) under Sus scrofa (pig). Its description in RNAcentral is "lncRNA (ENSSSCG00015015289.1)". Lineage: Eukaryota; Metazoa; Chordata; Mammalia; Artiodactyla; Suidae. The record is from RNAcentral.